AUAUCAAUAAGCGGAGGAAAAGAAACCAACAGGGAUUGCCUCAGUAACGGCGAGUGAAGCGGCAAGAGCUCAAAUUUGAAAUCUGGCUCCUCUUGGGGCCCGAGUUGUAAUUUGGAGAGGAUGCUUCGGGACUGGCCCCCAUCUAAGUGCCCUGGAACGGGCCGUCAUAGAGGGUGAGAAUCCCGUCUGGGAUGGGUGGCCUGGCCCGUGUGAAGCUCCUUCGACGAGUCGAGUUGUUUGGGAAUGCAGCUCUAAAUGGGUGGUAAAUUUCAUCUAAAGCUAAAUAUUGGCCGGAGACCGAUAGCGCACAAGUAGAGUGAUCGAAAGAUGAAAAGCACUUUGAAAAGAGAGUUAAACAGCACGUGAAAUUGUUGAAAGGGAAGCGCUUGCAACCAGACUCGCCCGGGGGGGCUCAACCGGCACUUGUGCCGGUGCACUCCCCCCCGGGCGGGCCAGCGUCGGUUUGGGCGGCCGGUCAAAGGUCCCCGGAAUGUAUCACCUCUCGGGGUGUCUUAUAGCCGGGGAUGCCAUGCGGCCAGCCUGGACCGAGGCCCGCGCUUCGGCGAGGAUGCUGGCGUAAUGGUGGUCAACGG
RNAcentral lists this ribosomal RNA (593 nucleotides) under uncultured fungus. RNAcentral's name for it is "eukaryotic LSU rRNA". It matches the Rfam family "Eukaryotic large subunit ribosomal RNA", at positions 40 to 647 of the family's 3401-position model. Lineage: Eukaryota; Fungi. The record is from RNAcentral.